RNAcentral lists this ribosomal RNA (798 nucleotides) under uncultured Pseudomonadota bacterium. RNAcentral's name for it is "bacterial SSU rRNA". It matches the Rfam family "Bacterial small subunit ribosomal RNA", at positions 71 to 848 of the family's 1533-position model. Lineage: Bacteria; Pseudomonadati; Pseudomonadota. The record is from RNAcentral.
AAAGCCCCGCAAGGGGCAAGUAGAGUGGCAAACGGGUGAGAACACGUGGGUGACCUGCCUUCGAGCGGGGGAUAACGUCCCGGAAGGGACGCUAAUACCGCAUAACAUCCUGCCUUUGAAGAGGUGGAGAUCAAAGCUGGGGAUCGCAAGACCCGGCACUUGAAGAGGGGCCCGCGCCUGAUUAGCUAGUUGGUGGGGUAAUGGCCUACCAAGGCAACGAUCAGUAUCCGGCCUGAGAGGGCGGACGGACACACUGGGACUGAGACACGGCCCAGACUCCUACGGGAGGCAGCAGUGGGGAAUUGUUCGCAAUGGGCGCAAGCCUGACGACGCAACGCCGCGUGGAGGAUGAAGAUUUUCGGAUCGUAAACUCCUGUCGAAUGGGACGAAAAGAUUGCGGGUUAACAGCCCGUAGUCCUGACGGUACCGUUAAAGGAAACCCCGGCUAACUCCGUGCCAGCAGCCGCGGUAAUACGGGGGGGGUAAGCGUUGUUCGGAAUUACUGGGCGUAAAGGGCUCGUAGGCGGCCAACUAAGUCAUACGUGAAAUCCCUCAGCUUAACUGGGGAACUGCGUGUGAUACUGGAUGGCUUGGAUUUGGGAGAGGGAUGCGGAAUUCCAGGUGUAGCGGUGAAAUGCGUAGAUAUCUGGAGGAACACCGGUGGCGAAGGCGGCAUCCUGGACCAAUAUUGACGCUGAGGAGCGAAAGCCAGGGGAGCAAACGGGAUUAGAUACCCCGGUAGUCCUGGCCCUAAACGAUGAAUGCUUGGUGUAGCGGGUAUCGAUCCCUGCUGUGCCG